Molecule: long non-coding RNA, 2276 nt
Filed under: Homo sapiens (human)
Lineage: Eukaryota; Metazoa; Chordata; Mammalia; Primates; Hominidae
Description: HSALNT0318595
Source: RNAcentral
CACUUGGCACUGCAGAACCUGCAGAUAAGAGAAGUUGGUCCUUCCUAUCCUGUAUCUUUGAUCUGCAUUUGGCAGUGGAUGCUGAAGCUGCAAAUUCAGAGGGGCGACUAUAUUUAUUGACAAAAAUCCACAUAUAAGUGGACCCACACACUUCCAACUAGUGUUGUUCAAGAGUCAACUGCACAUUGUAAGUGGAGAAGUGGACUGAAAACAUAGUCUCCUGGAGAGUCAUCUGUGGAAAUCCUUCUUCUGGGAAGAUGUACACGGUGUAUUUGUACCCAGAGGCACCCAUCACAGCUGCGUUGGAGAGAGGCAUGUGCAAAGGGAAGCCAUUUCAAUCAAAAUUGGGAUCACCGAUUAAAAUUUAUUGUGCAUUGUAGCUUGAGAGAUUUGAGGAAAGCAAUCUUUUUCUUUUUAGAAAUCUUUGGUUUUAGUGUAACAAGAACCUCCCCACCUUCCUGUGUGCCACAUACUCUUUACUGUCAUUGUAAAUGGCUAGAUAGUAAUGGGCUGAGGAAAAUGUUCUGGUUUUUAGGACCAGUCAAAUGAACUGCUCCAUCCAGUAUUUAGGAGCUGGAGGUCUCUGGUUCUGCUGGCUGGUAUACUUAUCUAUGAUGACCAUUGCAUUUCUUUCAUUGCCUGUGAAACCCUUCACUGUGAUAUGAUCACAACACAAUAAAAGUAGAAUGAGGUUUUCUUUGCAAUAUAACUGCCAUAGAUUUGUCUGUUGGUGAAGAAACAGUCGCCUUUUGGGGCCUUACUGCUGUGUUCCCUGAUGAGCCUUUUCAGUCCUCUCAGGCCAUGUGGGGACACAUGUGAGGGUCAAGAUUAGUUGUAGAUAUGCAAUGAAUACUAUGCUAGUACUAAUAUCAAUUUUAAUAAGGCAGUAUUACUAUUGUAAUAAUCAGCAUAAAGUAAUACUUUAUUGGUAUUGAUAUUUUAUAAUUAUUAAUGUGAUGAUGACAAUGAUGAUACUGAUGAUAUUAAGCUAAUACACAUGAGCACUUUUUAUGUUCCAACCCUUGCAUUAAAUGUUUUACAUGGAUUAUCUCGUGGGAAUAGAAAGAUGUUAGUAUUAACUCCAUUUUACAAAUGAAUGAACUGUCUUAGAGAGGGGCCACUGCAUUCCCAAAUUAGAAAAUAGCAGAUCUAAUCUAUAGAUCACAGAAUCAGGAAACUUGAGAGUUUAAAGCAACUUUAGAGGCCAGGCACGGUGGGUCAUGCCUGUAAUCCCAGUACUUUGGGAGGCCAAGGUGGGUGGAUCACCUGAAAUCAGUUCGAGACCAGCUUGGACAACAUGGUGAAACCCUGUCUGUACUAAAAAUACAAAAAUUAGCCAGGCGUGGUGGCACAUGCCUAUAAUCUGAACUACCCAGCAGGCUGAGGCAGGAGACUCACUUGAAUCUGGGAGAUGGAGGUUGCAGUGAGCCGAGAUCACGCCACUAUACUCCAGCCUGGGUGACAGAGCAAAACUCCAUCUCAAACAAACAAACAAACAAACAAACAUAAAGCAACUUUAGAGACAAUUCAAUUCAAUGUCCUCAUUUUGAAGGUGAGGGGAUAGAGAUUAAGGAGGUUAUAGGAACUGACCAUAGAUACACAGGGGGCUGCUAAGCCUGACCUCAUGUCUAGGUUUCCUGAGGUCUAGGACUAAGCUUUGAUACUGCAAAUGUCUUCGUGUCCAUACAAUAGCUGGUAAUUUUUGUCAGGUACUAUUUAGAGGAAUCUAGUGCAGUGCUUAUAUUCUUGGGCUCUGGAGUUAAAUAGAAGGCCUGGGUUGAACCCCUACUCUGCCACUUGGGAGCUGUGUAGCUUCAGGCAAACUGUUUAAUCUAAGUCUCAUUGCUCUCCUCUGUGAAACGGGGACAGGAAUUGACCUCAGAGAGCUGCUAUAAGAAUGAAUAAGAUACACAUAUUAUGCUAUUAUCCUAGCCCUCUACCUUACACAUCAUAUUUGGUCAUUUAAUAUUAGCUGUUAGUACCAUGGUAAUAGUUUAGGAUUUGGUAAGCAGAACUCCAUCACGCAAUGAGUCACUGUAACAUCAAUGCCGAUAGACCAAGGAUAAAUCAUAUUUAUCAACGUGGUUGAAUCUAGAAUAACACAGGUCUGAAAUGCAAUCAGCUUAUGAAGUAUAUAUGAAUUACGCUUUCUAUUCUAGUGUUAUAAGUUGAAUCACUCUAUCUAAUAUCAUCAGAAUUUACCCUAAAAGAAAGGAAUAUUGUAAUUGUAAAUGAUAGCAGAGGAGAAUAAAGGCCACCAUCAUGGAAAUAAAUGU